Molecule: long non-coding RNA, 929 nt
Filed under: Marmota monax (woodchuck)
Lineage: Eukaryota; Metazoa; Chordata; Mammalia; Rodentia; Sciuridae
Source: RNAcentral
UCUAUAUGUUUUGCAUCGAGAAUGUGUGUUUUGUUAUUAUUUUAUGUUACCCUCAUGUGAUCUCAUAACUCUGUCUUGCUAAGUCACAUGCAUAGUCCCUGCACAAUUCUAGAUAUAAAAUGCCCUUUUAAUCAAUUUAUCCUUAUCUGCAACCACAGUUCUACCUAGGAGUCAUUAUAAUGGAUGACAAGGUCCAGAGAGGCUGAUAAAAUAAUCUAAGGUCACACAGCUGGGCUGCCCUGAAAGCCAGUCAACUUUCAAGAGUAGACUUUUUGUUUAAGAUUUGCUCUCAGUCAUCUUAUUUUUAAAAGCAGGAUUGAUUUACAGCUUUACAUUACCAAGUAGCCUAGUAAAAUCUGAUAUCAUCUGGUUGUCCCAACAGCAUGGGAGAUGCCAUUGACACUAUUAAUUGACAAUAAUGAGGCUCGUCCCUCAAGUCUGCAUGGUCAUUUCACCUUUACAGCGACCUCUCCCAAGGAGUUCAGAAUUUGGUUCACACAACGAAUUCUGGGAGGCAGAGAGAACAGGAUCCAAGAAAAUCCAGUGUCUCAGAGGCUUAGCCUGUCCCACGUGGCCACCGUCUUUAGUAUCAUUAAUCAUGCAACCCAUUUUUGUGUACCCCCAUGGUACCAGUGGUAGUUGAUCUGUUAGCUGAUAUGGCUACUAAAUGCAUAACAGGAGGGUAGCAUAUACACCAUGGAUACACUGGGCAAAGUAAUGUGGGCUCACAAAUGCCAUCUGAUAGUCUCUUGUGAUGCUGAGAAAAUAUUCAUAUUCAAAAAUCGUAGACCGAGGUAGAGUCAACUUGCUGGUUGUAGGUCCUGGCAUAAAACAGAGACUCGUGAGAUGAAUCAUCACGGAAGUCAGGACCGUCUGUGUAUGCAGAGGACGUCAAAAAAAAUAUCUAAAUAAAAAUGUGCAUUUCAAAA